CAGUCGCCGCGGUAAUACGUAGGGGGCGAGCGUUGUCCGGAAUGACUGGGCGUAAAGGGUGCGUAGGUGGUUUAAUAAGUUAGAAGUGUAAUACCCAGGGCUUAACUCGGGUGCUGCUUCUAAAACUGUUAGGCUUGAGUGUAGUAGAGGAAAGCGGAAUUCAAUGUGUAGCGGUGGAAUGCGUAGAUAUAUUGAAGAACAUCAGUGGCGAAGGCGGCUUUCUGGACUAUAACUGACACUGAGGCACGAAAGCGUGGGGAGCAAACAGGAUUAGAUACCCCUGUAGUCCCUGUCUCUUAUU
This 301-nucleotide ribosomal RNA is filed under the name uncultured bacterium. RNAcentral's name for it is "partial 16S ribosomal RNA". It matches the Rfam family "Bacterial small subunit ribosomal RNA", at positions 509 to 808 of the family's 1533-position model. The record is from RNAcentral.